UCGAGGAUCUUUCGCAAUGGGCGCAAGCCUGACGAAGCGACGCUGUGUGGACGAUGAAGGCUUUCGGGUUGUAAAGUCCUUUCGCGCAAGAACAAGAGAGGUAGAUGAAUAAUCUGCUGAUUUGAGGGUACUGCGUAAAGAAGCACCGGCUAACUCCGUGCCAGCAGCUGCGGUAAUACGGAGGGUGCAAGCAUUAAUCGGAUUUACUGGGCGUAAAGGGCGCGUAGGCGGGCAUGCAAGUCAAAUGUGAAAUUCCGGAGCUCAACUUCGGAGCUGCAUUUGAAACUGCAAGUCUAUAGAGGGAUGGCGGAGAAAAUGGAAUUCCACGUGUAGCGGUGAAAUGCGUAGAUAUGUGGAAGAACACCAGUGGCGAAAGCGGUUUUCUAGCUAUUACCUGACGCUGAGGCGCGAGAGCAUGGGGAGCAAACAGGAUUAGAUACCCCUGUAGUCC
RNAcentral lists this ribosomal RNA (451 nucleotides) under uncultured bacterium. RNAcentral describes it as "bacterial SSU rRNA". It matches the Rfam family "Bacterial small subunit ribosomal RNA", at positions 355 to 796 of the family's 1533-position model. The record is from RNAcentral.